UCCUGCUGCAUUCUUAGUUUAUACAAUGCCAUUAGGCUGACUGUCAUCUCUUUUGUGUUGUUACUUGCAGUUAUUUUAUAUACUGGGAGUAGUUGAUAUGGUGCAGGGCAAGGCUGCCAUCAUCCCAGAAGGAAUGAACAAGAAUCUGGGUGACAGGAGCAUCAUGAAGUUCAAGAAUUCAAACGUGAAGUCCUGCACCUUGUAAACAGUGACACCAUGCAGCAGUACAAACUGGGGACAGGCUGGCUAGAAACUAGCUUUAUAUAAGAGGACCUAGAGGUCAUGAUGGACAUCGAGCUAAAUGUGAGUCAAGAAUGUGCCACUGCAUGAGUGAGAGCCAAGCACAGAAGACACUGGGCUGCAUUAGUAACAGCAGAGGCAGCAGGUUGAGAUAGCCAGCAGAGGUGAAUAUUGCACCCCUCUGAGGAGAAGAAAAUCCCACAGGCAAGCAGAGAGCAAGAUUGACAUUUCUCAUUAUUUCUGUACUGCAGGUAUUGCAGAGAAACAUUCAUUAUUCUUGAAGCAGAAUCUGGGGAAGCUCUGUCUCAGCAUACAUGACCUCUGUACAAAGAAAAAGGUUGCGUUGUGCCUGAGGAACAAAGCUCUGGAAUUAAAGUCUGUAACAGCUAAGAUAUGCUGGGCCAUGGAGCAUCUCUGCAAGCCUCCAAAUAGCCCACAGGAAAAUCUCAGAAGGACCCUGUGAGUGGCAGUUAUGUAAGACAAAACUUGAUCCAAGCCAUUGAGUGCCAUAUCCUAGAGAUGGGAGAAAAUGGCAGGUGUGAUGAACUGGGGCUGGUUGUGUUCAUGGAGUUUUUGUGCUGUCUGGAGUUUCCUCACUUGGAAGGCUUCAUAUGUUGCUAUUUUGCAUUGCUCUGGACAUGAUGAAAAGUAGGAAAGCACAAACAAGUGAACCCAGAGCAUCAUAAAGCAGCCUGGAAUGAAAUUUUUGGUGUAGUGGAGGCAACAGAAAACACCACUGAGAGGCACCAGUGAGCAGCUUUAGUGACAGUGAGCACACUGGAAAUGCUCGCAGACUGGUUGGGUUUGAUGCCUGCUUCUUUGAGGCUGCAAAAGCUGUCCAGAAAUUAUCUAGAGUUUCACUGAAGGCACCCUAGGAGUGUUUCAGCUGAUUUGCAGAUGACUUCUAGCUUUGGUCUGAAGCCAUGGGAAAUGAGAAUUUAUGUUAUAUGUUCCUACCAGCUGAGAAAAAAGCUGGAGUGACAUCAGGCUGGAGAAUGUAGUGUAGGUGUGCAUAAAGAGACAUGGGAGAAUUCACCUCCUUGGAGAGAUGUGAUCCCAGUGCCAGGAAGGAGUCCUGUGGCACCCACUAACAGGAGGAGCUGGAAUCCUGAGCUUGUAUAUACCUGGGGGAAAACAGGAAAAACACUUUCAUGUCUCUAUAGAGCAUUUCAGGCAAGCCAGAAGUUUGUACUCAGGUGGAUAAGUAGUCAAGUAUCAUUAAUAAAUGUAGCUCUUAUCCAUAACCUUGCCAAACUCAUUUUGUAACACAGCCGUAACCAUGC
Lagopus muta (rock ptarmigan) is the source of this 1523-nucleotide long non-coding RNA. RefSeq lists it as uncharacterized. The transcript has 3 exons. The record is from RefSeq and is a predicted model, not a curated record. NCBI's taxonomy places the organism in Eukaryota, Metazoa, Chordata, Aves, Galliformes, Phasianidae.